Molecule: ribosomal RNA, 328 nt
Filed under: uncultured eukaryote
Lineage: Eukaryota
Description: partial 18S ribosomal RNA
Rfam family: Eukaryotic small subunit ribosomal RNA
Source: RNAcentral
CCCUUAGAUGUCCUGGGCCGCACGCGCGCUACACUGAUGCAUGCAACGAGUUUAUAACCUUGGCCUGAAAGGUCUGGGUAAUCUUUUGAACGUGCAUCGUGAUAGGGAUAGAUUAUUGCAAUUGUUAAUCUUGAACGAGGAAUUCCUAGUAAACGCGAGUCAUCAGCUCGCAUUGAUUACGUCCCUGCCCUUUGUACACACCGCCCGUCGCACCUACCGAUUGAAUGGUUCGGUGAAGAUCUCGGACUUCGAUAUUUAUUCUUUAUUGAGUUUAUAUUGUGGGAAGUUAUCUAAACCUCAUCAUUUAGGGGAAGGUGAAGUCGUAACA